UACGGGGGGGGCAAGCGUUGUUCGGAAUUACUGGGCGUAAAGGGCGCGUAGGCGGCCAUCUAAGUCAGACGUGAAAUCCCUCGGCUCAACCGAGGAACUGCGUCUGAUACUGGAAGGCUUGAAUUCGGGAGAGGGAUGCAGAAUUCCAGGUGUAGCGGUGAAAUGCGUAGAUAUCUGGAGGAAUACCGGUGGCGAAGGCGGCAUCCUGGACCGACAUUGACGCUGAACGGCGAAAGCUAGGGGAGCAAACGGG
Molecule: ribosomal RNA, 253 nt
Filed under: uncultured bacterium
Lineage: Bacteria
Description: partial 16S ribosomal RNA
Rfam family: Bacterial small subunit ribosomal RNA
Source: RNAcentral